UACUGGGAGGAAAGAAAAAGAGAAAAUUAAAGCCAAUGAGUCAGUUCUGAGACGGUGAGCAGAACAAAUGUCGCAUGUGUACCUGCAUCUCUCCUAUAGGUGUGAUCCUGAGGAGUUGUAUAUAAGAAAUUAACUCAUAAGUCACCCAGAAGAGCCAUGCGAUCUUCAGUUUGCAUUGUGGACAUUUCCUCAGACCCACUUGGUUUGACUGGGAGAAGAGCAUUCCCAAAAGAUUUUUUACAGACAUUACUGCAUUUCUUUGGGUAUACAGAGCUUCACACAUGGAGACUUUGAAAGAAUAUAAAAAUUCUCCUAGUGCAUUUGGGGGAGUCCAACUUUUACAGUUCUAAAGUAUGUCACACAUAGCAAGUCAGUCACUGGAGGAGGCAUCAGCGAUGUGAGGCCUUUGAUGCUUUCUGCUAUAAUGGAGGCCAGGGGCCAGAGUCAGUAUUUACACCUUGCAGCACAUUGACCAGCUGUUCCAGCAAAUCAGGUUUGGAAAUUGAUACCCAGAAAGACAAAAAGUGAUUUUCCCAAACCCAUGAUCAUCAUCUCCAUUAUCAUCGUAGCAGCAAAUAUAGUGCUUGCCUAGUGCCAACUACUGAUCUAGGCACUUUCCAUGUGUUAGGAGAAACCCAUGUAAUCUUUAGAACAACCAUGAGGUGGGUACUGUCAUCCCCAUCUUACAGAUGAAGCAGAAGCACAGAGAGCUCACACGGUGGCAAGUGGCUGGGAUUUGA
Myotis brandtii (Brandt's bat) is the source of this 740-nucleotide long non-coding RNA. RefSeq lists it as uncharacterized. NCBI's taxonomy places the organism in Eukaryota, Metazoa, Chordata, Mammalia, Chiroptera, Vespertilionidae. The transcript has 6 exons. The record is from RefSeq and is a predicted model, not a curated record.